CUAAUCAGGAAGCUUGGUGGUGUGGUACACACCUGUAAUUCCAGCUCCUGGGGAGGCUGAGGCAGGAGGAU
Ictidomys tridecemlineatus (thirteen-lined ground squirrel) is the source of this 71-nucleotide microRNA precursor. Lineage: Eukaryota; Metazoa; Chordata; Mammalia; Rodentia; Sciuridae. The record is from Ensembl.